This 275-nucleotide unclassified non-coding RNA is filed under the name uncultured Actinomycetes bacterium. Its description in RNAcentral is "uncultured actinobacterium contains 16S-23S intergenic spacer region". The record is from RNAcentral. Lineage: Bacteria; Bacillati; Actinomycetota; Actinomycetes.
UCCGGUUUGUCACCGGCAGUCACCUUAGAGUGCCCAACUGAAUGCUGGCAACUAAGAUCAAGGGUUUAACCAGCAUGUCAAGCCCAGGUAAGGUUCUUCGCGUUGCAUCGAAUUAAGCCACAUGCUCCGCCGCUUGUGCGGGCCCCCGUCAAUUCCUUUGAGUUUUAGCCUUGCGGCCGUACUCCCCAGGCGGAGUGCUUAAUGCGUUAGCUGCGGCACAGAGAGGGUUGAAGACCUCCCCACACCUAGCACUCAACGUUUACGGCUGGGACUAC